UUCAAAAGACAUCUUGAACUGCAAGAGGGACUGGGAAAAGUGAAGCUAUCAUCUCUGUCCCUAUCUUGGAAUUGGGCACUUCCAACAGAUAAGCAAACUGAACUGCAGAAGUGUUAACAUAGUGAGGAAGUGAAGGAGCCAAGAUUCCAACUCCACCAUCCGGCCGCAGAGGCUGCCCAAGGCGCGGUUCUCAGCCAGCAGCGUCUGCCACAGCAGGCUGCCUCUAAAAUCAUAACACGUAAAAGUUCUAAGUGAUGCUUGUCUGCCUCAGAAGUGCAAAUGUGACAUUUGCCCCUGGCUGCAGUCAUGGUGUGGGGUGAAAAGAGCAGAGGGGCAUCCAAGAGUGACAAGAAUUGCUUUCUGUCAUCAUCAAGGCUGCGUCAGCUCACACUGUGAUCAGGUAAGGUUUGAGACCAGGAGAGUCUACUUCAUUGCCAGGGGCCAGGGACAAAUGGUCAGCUGUCCAUCAUGCUGUAACGGGAAUCAGAAAGUCUUGGCAAGUCAGGAGCAAGUGAUUGAAGGGUCCAGUUACAAGCAGGCAGGAUUAGAAUAGAAUAGAGGCUCUAAGUUAGAGGAAUGUUUUAGGGGGCAUUUCCAC
RNAcentral lists this long non-coding RNA (598 nucleotides) under Pan troglodytes (chimpanzee). RNAcentral's name for it is "long non-coding RNA NONPTRT017215". Lineage: Eukaryota; Metazoa; Chordata; Mammalia; Primates; Hominidae. The record is from RNAcentral.